This 1201-nucleotide long non-coding RNA is filed under the name Danio rerio (zebrafish). RNAcentral's name for it is "lncRNA (ENSDARG00000117385.1)". Lineage: Eukaryota; Metazoa; Chordata; Actinopteri; Cypriniformes; Danionidae. The record is from RNAcentral.
CGUGUCAUCUGGUUUUGAUGGUAUACGGGAACAGAAUAUCUGUAAUAACAUUAUGGCGAAGCUGAUUCAGAACUACAGCGCCGUCUUUGAGUCUCAGCUGGAAGAAAAACAGACUGAAGAGGAGUCUUCAAACAUCAUCAUGGUCAAAGUGAGUCCUUAUGUUUCACGUUUACACAAAAGUCAAUAUUUGCUGAGCACUUUUGGAACAACAUCAUUAUUUUAUGUAUGAGAGUGUGUAUGGAUGUUUCCCAGUACUGGAUUGGGGUUAGAAGGGCAUUUGCUGUGUAAAACAUAUGCUGCAAUAGUUGGAGGUUCAUUCCACUGUGGUAACCCCUGAUAGAUAAAGGAACUGAGCCAAAGGAAAAUGAAUGAAUGAGUACUGUACAUGAAUACCCAAGAAGUUGUACACCUUUUGACCGGUAGUCUACAUAGUCAGUGUCUCUCCUUGACCUUGCGUUGUGUCUGUUUGCAUCGGCAGGCCAAAACGUCAUCAAGCUAUCUCUCUCAUGAUGCAACCAUCAACAGCAUUUUCUUUUUUUCAGUUUCGUCAUGUAAAGCCAAGCUUCUUCUGAAAGGCAUGCGGUCAUGUGCGCUAAUGCUUUUACUGCUGCGGUCAGAGAGUACAGGUGACCUCAUGUCAGUCCAUCAUUGUUUUUUCUGAUGUUCCCAGGAGGCCAAAACAAACACCGAAAGCACAGAGGCGUCACUUUACACUCCGGUUCCACAGACGCAAACUCCACGUGUCAAGAAGAUGAAGGUCACACAAUGCACUCCAGUUGAAAAUACAGAUUCUUCAAGAAAACAGUUGAGUCCAGACAACCCUGCAUCAACACCAAGAAAAAAAAAGGUCACUCAAUGCACUACAGUUGACAGUGCAGACCUGUCAAGAGAAAAUGAGUCAGGUGCAGACGACCCUACACCCACACCAAGAAAAAAGAAGGUGAAGAAGAUUAAGACAGAAGCUAUGUCCAGAUCUAUUCCUCAACCGACUCCCUCUGGUGAUCCAGUCUCCAGACCUUCGCCCCAUCUUCCAGACCGAAGCUCAGGUGCUGGAGAUCAGUUUCAUCUGCACAGUCCAGACGGGAGUUUCAGCCCUAGUGCUGACAGCAUGAACGUGACCAUGAGCCCUGCUAGAUCAACAGGAACCUUCAACAGCCCACAAGAAGAUGAAAGACCAAUAUCUCCUUUCUAUAUUAGGUAG